CUUCGGAUUGGUUCAGGCUCAGGUUGUUUGCCGGCAUAGACUGCAGGCCCCGCCCCGCGCGAGCGAUUGGCCAGCUAGUCCAGGCCCGCGCGGUGAUUGGAAGGGGUCCGCGGCCGCGGGCGGGGCCGGAAGGUGGCCGGCAUCAUGGCGUCCACGCCGCCGCUGCGGGACCGCCUGAGCUUCCUGCACCGGCUCCCGGUUCUCCUGAAGGGAACGUCGGACGAUGAUGUCCCGUGUCCAGGCUACUUGUUUGAGGAGAUCGCCAAAAUCUCACACGAGUCCCUGGGCAGCAGCCAGUGCCUCCUGGAGUACCUUCUGAACCGUCUGCACAGCGGCUCUGGCCGAGUGAAGCUGAAGGUGCUGAAGAUCCUGCUCCACCUGUGUGGUCACGGCUCCUCCUCGUCCUUGCUCAUCCUCAAACGCAACCCUGCCUUCAUCCAGGAAGCCGCAGUUUUCUCGGGGCCCCCAGACCCUCUCCACGGCAACAGCUUGUACCAGAAGGUGCGGGCGGCCGCCCAGGACUUGGGGAGCGCCUUGUUCUCGGACAACUUGUCGCCCCCGCCUCCCUCCCAGCCACCCAGGGCCCUGCCUCCGGCAGGCAUGGGCUCCGAGUCCAGGCCCCAGGGCGCCCUCCAGGGCUUCGGCUACAGCAAGGAACGGGGCCCCACAGGCUCUGCGGGCGAAGCCUUCCUCUCCACCAUCCAGAAGGCCGCAGAGGUGGUGGCCAAUGCUGUGCGCCCCGGGCCCGAGAGCCCCGGCACCCGGAGGCCCCUCCCGCGGGGUGACGCCUACCAGCCCGCCAUGACGCCCGCAGCCAGCCGUGGUUGCCCGAGUGCCGGGAAGCCGCUCCCCGGAGCUCUCCCAGGCACCCGAGGAAGCGUCACGAGACCCCAGCCCGGGCAGGCAGGAGGGGGUUGGGACGAGCCAGAUAGCGGCUCCAGCUCCCAGAAUUCAUCCCGGGGGAGCGGUGACCCAGGCAAGGUCUCAGACUCAGGCAGUCGGUCGGGCAGCGACAGCCCCUCAGCGGCUAGCCAGGCACCCAGCGACCUGGCAGAGCGGGUGGAGGCCGUGACCCUGAGCGACUGCCACCAGGAGCAGAGCCUGGUCCAGACUGUGACACGGGGGCCGCGUGCCUUUCUGAGCCGAGAGGAGGCUCAGUGCUUCAUCAAAGAGUGUGGGCUGCUCAACUGUGAGGCGGUCCUGGAACUGCUGACCCGCCGCCUGGACGGGACCAGCGAGUGUGUGCAGAUGAGGGCCCUGGGCGCCAUCGCGUCCCUGGGCUGCACCGACCUGCUCUCCCAGGAGCACAUCCUGCUCCUCGCCCGGCCGCGGCUGCAGGAGCUCAGCGCGGGCAGCCCUGGACCCGUGACCAACAAGGCCACCAAGAUCCUGAGGCACUUUGAAGCCUCCUGCCGACAGCGGCCCCCCGCCCAGAGGCCCCCGGUCGAGCUGGGCCCUGCUGCUGGCCGCGGGGGCCCGGCCGACCUGCUGACCGACGCCGUGCCCUUCUCCGGGAGCCACGCCUUCCUGCAGCCGCUGAGUUCCGCCCUCUUCCCGCCCCAGGGCCCUGCGCACCCCCUUCCCCCCGAUGGCUCCCCGCUCUCAGUCCCCAGGGAGGCCGAGGCCGGCCCGGUGGGUUCCAGAGAGGAGGGCGCUGGACCCGAGUGGAGCCCGCCGGGCACGGGCUCCCCAAAGGGAGCGCCGGAACUUUGCCCGGGGCCCGGGGGCUGCAGCUCCUUGUUUGCUGGCAUGGAGCUGGUGGCCUGUCCCCGCCUGCUGGGGGCCGGGCCCGCCACAGAAGAGGCCCCCCAGGCCCCCUGGACGCCACCACAGAGGGCGGCGGCAGCAGGAGCCCCUCCCGGCUCGGAACCUUCUGCCUUCCCUUUCCUAAACUCGUGACCUUGCCAGCCUGGGCCACACGUGGAGUCACCGUGGCCCCGGCCUGUAAAUCCCAGGAUUCCGUGACUCUGCGCUGUCCCGUUUGCCCGCAGCCCCCACGUCCCACCGAGGAGAGGUUCCCCUCGGGUGUGUGUGGCCGGUCCGCCCUCCCUCCGGCGUCCCCCCCUCACUCACCGAGGACACGGUGCGGGCAGCUGACCAGAGCGAAUACAAUGGCCGCAGAUCAAGCCCCGGGUGAUGUGCCGCCGGUCCACGAGCCAGCAGAGCCAGGAGCGGAGCAUGGGAACACAUGUAGGUCUCAGGAUGUCAGACCCAGGGGACCUUCCUAAAGGAAGGCACUAGCAGCAUUCACAAAGGAAGCGAACGAUGUUCACGGAGAAGCCACGAGCAGAUUUGGAAUUCUUGUCCAGUCAGAACCCACACCCCUCCCAGCCUGCAGAACCAAGAAGCGGCCGUGACCCUGGAGGUUUGGUUCCAGAACCAGAGAGCGAAACUCAGGAAAGCUGAAUACAAGCAUCCGCAGCAAAAACAAGAACCCAGACAACAGCAGUUAGCUGGGGGGAGUCAAGACCGGCUCUUCCUGGAGAAAUACGCUCCUACCCUGCUUCCUCGGUUUAUGCAGAUCGCCCAAUACCUUCCUUCCAACCCUGCACGUGCACCAGUUUGAAAGCUCCCCCAGACCAUUCUGUUGGCCACCAAACAGUCCACCUUGGCUGCCGCCAAGAUCCUAACAUCUCCCUUUGUCCCGUUUAGGGAUCUCAGAUUCUUUCCACCAGCUUCACUGCUAAUUCCUUUGCUUCUGCAUUGCCACCAAGAACCUUAGAAGAGAAGCUAGACACAAAAAGCCACAUACCGUGAUUUGCCAUGAUGCCAAAUGGGGCCGAUAGAAGAUCUACACAACACGGAUGCAUUUCAAAGCGUUCUGCUCUGCGAAAGAAUAAAGACACGGAAGUGCCCGUGUGGUGGAAUUGAGCAGAAGGAGGCAGUAACGCUUCUUGGGAUGGUGACGUUUCAUGUCUUAAUUAGGUUGGUGGUUACCCGGAUGUACAAACUCAUCGAAAGACACAGAACUCUAAUACUAUGUACACCACAAAGAAACAGCCAUGUGACAGGAUGGAGGCGUCAGCUAAUGCCACGGCGGUAACCCUUUUGCAUUCUAUAAAUACCAAAUCAGCACCUUUGUGUACCCCUUAAACUCGCACAGGGUUAUGUGGCAAUUCACUCGAUGCGUCAACUCAAUCUCAGUAAACCUGGAGGGAAUAAAUGUUUUAAUUAUGUCUCAAUAAAGUAUAUAUGCAUAGGUCA
Molecule: RNA transcript, 3204 nt
Organism: Felis catus (domestic cat)
Lineage: Eukaryota; Metazoa; Chordata; Mammalia; Carnivora; Felidae
Gene: TEPSIN
Gene name: TEPSIN adaptor related protein complex 4 accessory protein
Exons: 14
Source: RefSeq, a predicted model, not a curated record